This 1285-nucleotide unclassified non-coding RNA is filed under the name Hevea brasiliensis (rubber tree). Lineage: Eukaryota; Viridiplantae; Streptophyta; Magnoliopsida; Malpighiales; Euphorbiaceae. The record is from RNAcentral.
CCUAUCAACCAUGGCAAGGCAUUGCACGGGUUUGUAUUCUGGAGCUGUCUGACCUGCUCCCUUAACAGUUGCAUACGUCAAACUAUACUUGUUCUUCGAAUACGUAGUUACGUAACCUGCAACUUGACCAUCAACGAACCAUGGACGCCACUCAUCUUCUAUAGUCAAAUUUAGAGAUUUUAUCCAUUCUUGUGUACCCACGUAUGGCACCGCCAUGUCCAUAUCACCACUGUAAAUCAAAGCCUGAUAGCCUUUCUUGGUAAGGUUUUUUUGAUACAAAACAGUGGAUUUGAUUUCUUGUACAUAGUAGGUAUCUCUUAAGCUUGAAUUGCAUCUUUGCCAAUCCUUUACAGUUCCCUCUCGAACAUGGAGAGCAGCUUGGGCAUUUUUGUCAUUAGCCCAAAUAUAAGAGAGCACGUAGUUGUCAAUCCGACACCAGGAUUCUGAAAUUUUCCUGAUUGAAAUGAGGAGAUGAAUGAAAUUAUUUUCCAGAAGAGAGGUUGCAAUAUUCCAAGCUGAUAUGUUUGGUUUUGGAGAUAUAUAUGUAGCACAAUCUGGCUCCAAUAUGUUGGGUGAAUAUAUUUUAUCAAGGCACUAUGAGAUGAGAAAUCUUUAGUGAUUAACUAUUCUUGAUAUCAAUGUAAAUAAAUUAACAAUAUAUACGUAAAGAUAAGAUUUGGUCUUAAGAAAAAAAGAGUUAGGAAUCCUUCUCACAUAUUUGACAGCUUCGAGAUCAGCAACACAGGCUGCAUUGCUUGGAUCUGGAGAUGUAUAAUACUCUCCUUUGCAAUCCCUUACAGUGGACUCAUAGAGUUCAUCCGAUAAAAGAGCAUUCCUAUGAGCAAAUGUAAGUCUUGCGUUGAUAUCAAUGUUUUCAUCAGUAAAUGGAUUGCCUAAAAAGAACCCCUUAAUAUUAUUAAGUGGCUUAUCUCCAGCUUCAAUACCAUUAGAUAUACGUUGAACGAGCAUGGGAACAGUAAUGCCUGAAUAAGAAUCACCGCCAAUAUAGAGUGGAUGAAACACAAACUUUGGGUGACCCAUAAGCCACUUUCUUAGAAAUUCAUAAGUUUGUGCUACUGAGGAUAGAUCACCAGUUUUAUAUCCCUCUGAAGUUGUUGCAUAGGAGAAUCCAGUGCCAACCGGAGCAUCCAAAAAUAUUAUAUUUGCAACCUUGGUCCAUGAGUAUGGAUUCAAGGUCAACGUUGGCAGUGUCUCCCAACUAAAGUUCGAAUAAUUGAAAGUUAUUGGACCGAUUUCAUAAAAAAUGGCAGAUAAAGCAGAGCAG